Molecule: long non-coding RNA, 1696 nt
Organism: Oxyura jamaicensis (ruddy duck)
Lineage: Eukaryota; Metazoa; Chordata; Aves; Anseriformes; Anatidae
Exons: 2
Source: RefSeq, a predicted model, not a curated record
GACGUGGGAAGGGGCGCCGCUUACGUGCGACCGCUGGGAAGGCGGCGGUGUGGGGAUUUUGUGAGGGAUUCGAUGCGCAUGGGCUAAACCCCCACGAGAGAACAGCCCGUUAAGGAAAACGGCAAUGUGCCCCUCGCCGCGUGCAGCUCUUCCCUCCCCAGCUGCCUUUUCUGCCCUCACAUCUGUCGGUGUAGCGAACUUUUUGACAAGCUAGAAGGAGAUUUAAGCUGCCUGCAGAAGGAGUUAGAAUGAGAUGUUUUCCUUCCUUAAUUUACUCGUGACACUGUCUCUUCUGACGUUAGUGUGGCUGUGCGAUGAGCCAGCACAAAAACUAAGCAAGCUGGUAAUAACAGCGGCAGCCACGUGCAUGUAGAUGAAAAAUUUAACAACCCAAGUGCUCCUUCAAAGCCCAUAAAACCAAGCGAGCUGCUUGGUUUCAGCAAGAUUGCAUCCCCAGUCUGGUUUGUUCCGUGAGUAUGCCAGCUACUGCCGUGGCACGUGGGCCUAGCGUGCUACUGGGAACAGGCAACUCUGAAAUCAGCUUUAUCUGUCAGGAUAGACCAGUUUAUGCGCUGACACCGACAGUGCUGCCAGCGGAGCGCUUGUGAAACCAGCCUGUGAUCAUGAGUCCUGCAAGGCCCUGCUAACCUUUUUCAUAUGUACUCAGUUAAAUCAGCCAAGCAGAAACAAACGGGCCUUGUGUAAUCUUCUCAUCCACAGUUCUCCAACGGGACCUGUGCCACAGAUGGGGAACGUCCACACUAGAAUCACCUGCUGAACAGACCGUGUUCUCCGAGGUCUACGCACACGCGUACAUGUAGAAAUAGGCCUUUCUGUGCAGCUACUGUCAAUUUUCUUAAUUUGCCAAUUUCUCUAGGGAAAGUGCAGCUGUUUGAAGAGAGCCUGUGUACUGGCUUGUAUAAUAUUGGUAGCAGAGAGCAAUUAAUCUCUAUAGUCCUUACCUUAAACAGAUGAUUUGAGAAAAUUUUGAAGAUAAUUCUCAAAGGUUUUGUGGUUUCAAGAGAGACAAGACUCAAUCUGGCGGCAUUUCAUUGACAUUAUUAACAUUGUGUAGAUGCCUUAAUUCCCUUAAGUCAGAUUUUUCUUGAUUGUAAUGAAAUGUAGGCAAGGAAUUCACGUGCUAGAGCUAGCUGGGGUUUGAGUUGUCUCUUAAGCAGGUUAAUUUUGUCAAAUGUGUUCAUUCACAAUUGUUUGAAUACUUUCUCAUUCUUUAAGAAUGGCAUGGUUAUGAUUUUUUUUUAACAUCUAAUUUUAAAUGCUUUGAUCGAGCAAUGUAUUCUCCCUCUAUAUAUGUGUGGCUGCAGCUGUUAUUACCAGAUGCACGUUUGAUCAGUAAAAGGUUUGCUUUCCAUUCAGAGUAUCCAAUUGCUGCUCAGAUUAACUGUUAGUCACUCUUGCCAGCGAGAUUAAUCACUGGAAUUUUGUUAAAACACAGUCCCCUGCAGAACAUGAAUAUAAAGCAAACUAUAUAAAAAAUAUGAAUGAUUAUAUAUGGACCUGGUGAGGAAGCAUAUAUAUGAAAACUUAAACACUUGAUUUGUUUGUACGUUUAUGUAUAAGAAGCUACUCUUUUGUGAUGUAAAUGUAUUUUACAACAGGGCCAAAUUGCGUAUGCUGUACAGUUUGUAAUGUUAACAUUUAUUUCAUUUAAAAUAUAACAAUAUUUGGAAGAAGA